UACGUAGGGGGCCAGCGUUGCUCGGAAUUACUGGGCGUAAAGGGUCCGUAGGCGGUGUUGCAAGUCGAUAGUGAAAUCUCUGGGCUUAACCCAGAGGCUGCUAUCGAAACUGCUGUGCUAGAGUGUGAGAGAGGCGAGUGGAAUUACGGGUGUAGAGGUGAAGUGCGUAGAUAUCCGGAGGAACAUCAGAGGCGAAGGCGGCUCGCUGGAUCACAACUGACGCUGAGGGGCGAAAGCGAGGGGAGCAAACAGG
RNAcentral lists this ribosomal RNA (253 nucleotides) under uncultured bacterium. RNAcentral's name for it is "partial 16S ribosomal RNA". It matches the Rfam family "Bacterial small subunit ribosomal RNA", at positions 524 to 776 of the family's 1533-position model. The record is from RNAcentral.